Molecule: long non-coding RNA, 1132 nt
Filed under: Homo sapiens (human)
Lineage: Eukaryota; Metazoa; Chordata; Mammalia; Primates; Hominidae
Description: long intergenic non-protein coding RNA 1533
Source: RNAcentral
AGUGGCAAUCAUUUAUUAAGCAUUGCCCUGGCCUAAGACACCACAUGGGUCAUUUCUUCCAGGCUCCAACUUGCUUCUGCUUUGCCAUAUGGUAACACGCCGUAUUAUGGAAGCACCAUCAUUACCGCCAUUUGCAGGGGAAGCCUAAAGAGAUAAAUGCCAGCCAGCAUCCCUGUCUCUGGGGCCCUGGAGAGGCCUUCAACACACCUGGCCUCACUGCCCUGUGGCUUCAACAAAGAGGCCGAGCAUCUCCUAUAAACCUUGAGGUCCAUGGAUGACAUAGCGGAAUGAUGGAUUUCAGAAAAGGCAGCACACUGCUGUUACGACUCCAGAACCGAUAAGGAAGCUAUGUGUGGAAGUAUGAGCUCAGGUCGCCUUCUGACCCUCUGUGACGGUCUAUUUCAGGCAGUUAUGGAUAGAUAACAUUACAGACACUGACACAAUGAACAAAAACCAGAGCUUUUGAAUACAGAUUUCCAGUAAAACCAAACCCAGCUUGGGUCAGAUGCACCUUUCCAGCAACCACCAUCUCAGCAACAACCUGCCAGCUGUCAACUGGAAGUUCAGCUUCUGGGAACUUCAGCCCCCUUCUCAGAGGAGCAAGGUCCUAGCACCAACAGCACCUGCAGUGGAGCCCAAGUAUGGCUGCUUCAUGGAGAAGGCAGAUAUUGAAAUGUGAUCACUGAGGCUCAGUGGGAAUCCCUUUGCUCUCAAACUCCCCGAUGCAAUGCCUUCUGAUUUCAACAGAAAAGCAAGAGGCUCCAGGCACCCCAUUCAGGGACUGCCACCAAAGUACCCGCAAAUCCUUCAUGAAAGGGGAGACAUUGACACAUUCUUUUUUUAUUCUCUGGUAGGUAUCUGUUUGCGUGCAAAUCCGUGAGUGCUUGCAUCUCGUGUAUUUGAAAAUCCUGUUUAAGAAUGCAGAGGUCCAUAUAGUGUCAUUAAAACAAAUGAGUAUAACCCUUUGGUCAUCUAGGUGAAAGCAUUUUGUUGGGUUUUUUUUUUUUCAAAUUGCUAUUGCUAUAUAUAAAUGUAACGUAUAGCAAUAACCGUAGAAAGAUACUGUGCCCUUGUGUAUGGAUAAUUAAAAUAGGAACAUCUCUGGACUAAAUUAAAAUGUGUAAAAACCAAA